GAUGAACGCUAGCUACAGGCUUAACACAUGCAAGUCGCGGGGCAGCAUGGGGGUUGCUUGCAAUCCCCGAUGGCGACCGGCGCACGGGUGAGUAACGCGUAUCCGACCUGCCCUUCACCACGGGAUAACCCGGCGAAAGUCGGACUAAUACCGUAUGUUGUCCAUUGACGGCAUCCGAUUUGGACGAAAGGUUUGGCGGUGAAGGAUGGGGAUGCGUCCGAUUAGCUGGACGGCGGGGUGACGGCCCACCGUGGCGACGAUCGGUAGGGGUUCUGAGAGGAAGGUCCCCCACACUGGAACUGAGACACGGUCCAGACUCCUACGGGAGGCAGCAGUGAGGAAGAUUGGUCAAUGGGCGUAAGCCUGAACCAGCCAAGUAGCGUGCAGGAUGACGGCCCUAUGAGUGGUAAACUGCUUUUAUGCGGGGAUAAAGUGGCCCACGUGUGGGUUUUUGCAGGUACCGCAUGAAUAAGGACCGGCUAAUUCCGUG
RNAcentral lists this ribosomal RNA (490 nucleotides) under uncultured bacterium. Its description in RNAcentral is "partial 16S ribosomal RNA". It matches the Rfam family "Bacterial small subunit ribosomal RNA", at positions 28 to 507 of the family's 1533-position model. The record is from RNAcentral.